This 74-nucleotide transfer RNA is filed under the name Pedococcus cremeus. RNAcentral's name for it is "Phycicoccus sp. V2M29 tRNA". It matches the Rfam family "tRNA". From Rfam's summary of the family: Transfer RNA (tRNA) molecules are approximately 80 nucleotides in length. Their secondary structure includes four short double-helical elements and three loops (D, anti-codon, and T loops). Lineage: Bacteria; Bacillati; Actinomycetota; Actinomycetes; Micrococcales; Intrasporangiaceae. The record is from Rfam by way of RNAcentral. RNAcentral also lists the same sequence under 11 other names.
GGCGGGGUAGCUCAGAUGGUUAGAGCGCACGACUCAUAAUCGUGAGGUCGCGGGAUCGAUGCCCGCCCCCGCUA